RNAcentral lists this long non-coding RNA (1831 nucleotides) under Homo sapiens (human). Its description in RNAcentral is "non-protein coding lnc-BOD1-1:36". The record is from RNAcentral. Lineage: Eukaryota; Metazoa; Chordata; Mammalia; Primates; Hominidae.
GCAUUGUAUAAAAACUUCUCUAGCUGCUGUGUCACAAAGAUACUGGAAAGGGGCAAGGUGAAGGAGGAGACCAGCAGAGCAGCCACGGCCGGGACAGUGCAGAGGAGGGAAGAUGACACAGCUGUGAGACAUUUUGGGGAAUAGGUCCUUCUGUCACGGGGCACAGGACCCUUGACCGCAAAAUGACGUGAGUUACCACUGACUAUUUUCUGGGUCUUGAUCUUGUGACUCCAAAUGGAUGGUACAGCUUGAGCAAAGACACAGAAGCAGAAGGCAGGUUUUUGGUUCCAUGAACUCUACAUCUGGCUACAUACAAAUGGUGAAGAGGAACAGGGAGAAACAUGGUUGAAAAGAACAGGCUUGGACUUCAGGAAGCAGUAAAAUGAGCGAAUGCCAUUUAUGGUUACAAAGAUAACUCAGCUGGGGGCCAAACAGAGACUGAAAUGGAGUGGGUGAGGAUGGAGGCCGGGAGGAGAUGGCUGCAGAGGUCCCAGCAAUGACAGUGGUUGUGGGAAGGGGCAACCCCAAGUCUUGUGCUCCCAACUGCAAAUCCAGUGCUUUUUCUAAAAAAAUAUUUAAAUAAUUUAUUUAUUUUUGAGAUGGAGUCUCGCUCUGUCACCCAGGCUGGAGUGCAGUGACACAAUGUCGGCUCGUGCAACCUCUGCCCCCCGGGUUCAAGCGAUUCUCCUGCCUCAGCCUCCCAAGUAGCUGGGAUUACAGACGCACGCCUCCACGCCUGGCUAAUUUUUUAUAUUUUUGGUAGAGAUGGGGUUUCACCAUGUUGCCCAGGCUGGUCUCGAACUCCUGACUUCAAGUGAUCCACCCACCUCGGCCUCCCAAAGUACUAGGAUGACAGGCGUGAGCCACUGUGCCCAGCCUUAUUUUUUUUUUUAAUUUAUAUUUUCAGAGGCAAACGAUCCUUGCUCAUUAAAAAAAGGAAAUAGAAAUUCAAAACAAAAAUGCCUGUAUCUGAUGGGAAAGAUGAGCCCAAUGUUCUUUUUUAAAAAACCUUUAUUAUGAAAUAUUUCAACUGAACAUAUGCAGUUUAUAUUGUUAUAAAGCAUAACAAGCAAUCAAACAGCUGUGAACCCACCACUCCAUGUCAGAACUAGAACUUCCCAAAGCAGUCGGAGCUGAGGUGAGAUCCACUCUGAUGCCCUUCCCCAACUCCACGCCACCCCCCAAGACCUGACCACCUGAUUACUCUGGGAUUUCAUUUUUGUCUCGUUCCCUUGCUUUGCUUUAUGUCUUUACCAAAUGUGAAUGUGUGCCUAAACAAUACAGUGCUCGAUUUGCUUGUGUUUAAGCUUUAUUACAAAUAUAACUUUGAUCCUUCUGCUACUUGCAAUUCUAAAUUUGAUAUUACGAGUCUCAGCCUCAUCGGCGUUGAUGCGUGUGACCGACAUUGAUUCACUCUCACCAGUACGUGGUGUGUUCCGUUGCAUGCAUGCACCCCUGCUGGGGUAUCCAUUCUCCUGUUGGUGGACCUUUGGGUGGUAUUAGUUGCUGGUCAUCUCCAUGGUGCUGUCCUCUUGCAGGUCUCCAGGACACAUGUGCAUGAGUUCCUCUAGGAAACCACGGUGUACAACUGCUGGGUUGCAGGCCCAGGGUUCUUUCCACUUCUCUAUCCUCCCAAGUAGGGUCCAGCUGGCCUUAGUGCUGCCAUGCUGAGAGCUCUGGGAGGGGCAACCCAGGGCAGACAGGCCCAGGCCAGCCACCCUGCCCCAGGCAUUUCCCAGGACUCAUCAGGCACCCAGCGGCCCCUCAGCAGUGAGCAAUACCAGAAAUCUGCCAGCUGGCUACUAACUGGGUCACAAGAGAGUACUGCUGU